RNAcentral lists this ribosomal RNA (524 nucleotides) under uncultured bacterium. RNAcentral describes it as "partial 16S ribosomal RNA". It matches the Rfam family "Bacterial small subunit ribosomal RNA", at positions 28 to 523 of the family's 1533-position model. The record is from RNAcentral.
GACGAACGCUGGCGGCGUGCCUAAUACAUGCAAGUCGAACGAAGCUGUUUUAACUGGUGCUUGCACCGACUUAAACAACUGAGUGGCGAACGGGUGAGUAACACGUGGGUAACCUGCCCCAAAGCGGGGGAUAACAUUUGGAAACAGAUGCUAAUACCGCAUAAUCACAGAAACCACAUGGUUUCUGUGUCAAAGAUGGUUUCGGCUAUCACUUUGGGAUGGACCCGCGGAGUAUUAGCUAGUUGGUAAGGUAAUGGCUUACCAAGGCAAUGAUACGUAGCCGAACUGAGAGGUUGAUCGGCCACAUUGGGACUGAGACACGGCCCAAACUCCUACGGGAGGCAGCAGUAGGGAAUCUUCCACAAUGGACGAAAGUCUGAUGGGGCAACGCCGCGUGAGUGAAGAAGGUUUUCGGAUCGUAAAACUCUGUUGUCAGAGAAGAACGUGUGCGAGAGUAACUGUUCGUGCAGUGACGGUAUCUGGCCAGAAAGCCACGGCUAACUACGUGCCAGCCGCCGCUGUAA